CAAAGAUGAAGAAAGGCGUCAGUGGCAGAGGAAGCAAAAGUGAAGCAGCGGACAAACAUGUGGGUCAGCACAGAGUCGUGUCCACAGCACGGUCCAUCCUUAAGUCCAUGACAGUGACGUCCAGGCAAAUGAGGGGGCUACAUCUGAGGUGACCCAGAUUCUCAGCCCAUACUCUGCUGGCUUGCUGGGCAGGAGCUGCUGGAAUUUGCAGUGGUGUCUACAGGGUAUGAGCUGCUCAUCAACAGUACUACAGGUACUACGUAUUCAUGCAAACAAAAAGAGAAUCAAAUAACUAAAAAUCUUUUGUUUUUCCUGUAUCAGGUCCAGCAGAUCUGCUAUCCACCCUUCUCUCUAACCCCCCUUUUCCACCCCUGCUCUCCUGAAGGUAGUGCAGGUGCAGUCUAAAAAUAACCCAGGCACUGUAGAAUGAGUGCAACCCAAAUGUGUGGAAUCUAAAUUUCAUGUGUGUGGGGUAAAAGGAAGGAGGUAGAAAUCUGACGUAGCUCAUGCCAAAGACAACUGACUCCCACCUAAUCUGUUCUGUUCUAUUCAGUUCUUCUGAACUGGUCUUUAUAAACAAGAAGAAGUCUUUCCUCAACAUUUUUGGAUUUUUCUAUUCAGGACAUUCAGUGGAGAACAUUUCCUCAAACAUCUGAAAAUUACAAGAAUUUCCUACAAUUCCCAAAAUAUUAACAAAGAAAUGUGGAUGUGAUCCAUCGGUAAACAAAUCUCUGUUCUCUAUCUCCUUAAAGACUACAGAAAUAAUUCCUACAUAGAAAAAAAAAGAAUUAAACUUUGGUAAUUUAUUGAAACCACGGACUACUUUAAUUUUGGUUGUGCAAUCUGAAUAUGUAAAAAAAAAAAGAACUUGUUAGAGCAACGUCUAUACCUUUAUUUUUUAUCAAGUCUCACGUCAAUGACCUUGACAGCUUUCUCCAAUCUGCCAUCGAGCCUCUACCACCCUUUAUCUAUCCUGUCCCAGUGCGACUGCAGCACUGAUCCAAAUCCUGGAUGUGGUCUCUAACCUAAUUAACCCAGAAAAAUAUAAAUAGAUUGACAGCAGACCCUGAUUAAAAAUGGGUCAAACUGAAUGAAAUAAGUUCUGCUUUCAGAAUGGUCACACUAAACUAGGACACCUUCAUCUCUUCUUUGCAUUGAAAUAAUGUCUGCUUCAAU
This is a long non-coding RNA of Cynoglossus semilaevis (tongue sole), 1176 nucleotides long. RefSeq lists it as uncharacterized. The record is from RefSeq and is a predicted model, not a curated record. The transcript is spliced from 2 exons. NCBI's taxonomy places the organism in Eukaryota, Metazoa, Chordata, Actinopteri, Pleuronectiformes, Cynoglossidae.